CUCUGUCUCAGCAAUAGUGUAAGUAGAACUGAGGCUGGCACCUAGACUGUGGUGGGCUGAUUCAUAGAGGCUGGGUUGGACUGAAUGGAGAAGAGAUAAAACUGUGAGAAAGAGAGUGAAAAACAUGAAAAUCCAUGAGUCAAUAUGGACCAAACCUAGGGCAAAUGUGUGGAGGUUUCAGGAAGACACAUGUCAUCUCAUCAAAAAGAAGGACGUCAAGGUUUGUCUGAGCUGCACUGAGCCCCAUGGAGAGUGAAUCUUCUGCUUCCGGAAGUUUUCAAACAGGUUGCAAAAGACUGCAGGCUCAAGUACCCAGUUGAACCUGAGGAUCUGUCGGAUAUAUUCAGUAGAGAUAAGUCAUGUGGGCAGAUGGGGCUGCUAGGAGAAAUCGCAUGUUUCAUUGAUUUCAGGACCAGCCCAACAUUAGAAUUCUUUCUCUUGAACUGCACUGCUGGGAUACAAUUUAAGAGUACUCUCAUUUACCUGGUCUGCCUCUGUGAAACCUGCGUAAUGUAACUGAGAUCACCCGGAAUUUUUGUGAAGCCAACUGAAGAUUUUUAAGGGAAGGAGAAGAGAUUUCACGUCUGGUGAGAAUGUCCUUAGAGGAAUACCUUCGGUGGGCAUGACAGUUCCACCAGGGAGAAAAGUAAGCAUAACACUAAAGCAGCACUAGGAAAUGUGGAAGAGUGAUACCAGCAGAAGCAAAACAUUUCUGGAUGAUACAAAGCAGAUGGGAUCAGUCUGAGGAAAUAACCAAAUAGAACUGGAGCAGCAGUUGAUUUAUAAGAAGCAGUAACAGCAAAGGCAGAGCAAGAUGGCUGAAUAGACGCCCCCAGCAAUUGACCCCUGACAGAAACACCAAACUGAAAAACUAUCCACACAAAAAAGCACCUUCAUGAGAACCAAAAAUCAGAAAUCUCCAGACUGCUUUCCACAGUGACUGAUCUAAUUUACAUUCCCAUCAGCAAUGUGUGUCAGCUGAAAGCAUGGUACACCUUCCUGGGACUUGAUGGGAGGGGAGGACAAUGGAAGUAUGCAUAUGAUUCUAUUUCUUGCUGUCCUGUGAGUGAUAAAAUCUUUUUUCUCCUA
Macaca mulatta (Rhesus monkey) is the source of this 1089-nucleotide non-coding RNA. Lineage: Eukaryota; Metazoa; Chordata; Mammalia; Primates; Cercopithecidae. The record is from RefSeq and is a predicted model, not a curated record.